RNAcentral lists this ribosomal RNA (301 nucleotides) under uncultured bacterium. RNAcentral describes it as "partial 16S ribosomal RNA". It matches the Rfam family "Bacterial small subunit ribosomal RNA", at positions 509 to 808 of the family's 1533-position model. The record is from RNAcentral.
CAGUCGCCGCGGUAAUACGUAGGGCGCGAGCGUUGUCCGGAAUCAUUGGGCGUAAAGCGCGUGUGGCGGCUGAGUAAGUCUGCUGUGAAAGUCCAGGGCUCAACCCUGGAAUGUCGGCGGAUACUGCUCAGCUGGAGUACGGGAGGGGCGAGUGGAAUUCCUGGUGUAGCGGUGGAAUGCGCAGAUAUCAGGAGGAACUCCUAUGGCGAAGGCAGCUCGCUGGAACGUUACUGACGCUGAGACGCGAAAGCGUGGGGAGCAAACAGGAUUAGAUACCCCCGUAGUCCCUGUCUCUUAUACA